AGAUUGAACGCUGGUGGCAUGCUUAACACAUGCAAGUCGGACGGCAGCAUGAUUAGUAGCAAUACUGAUUGAUGGCGAGUGGCGGACGGGUGAGUAAUACAUAGGAACUUGCCUUAUGGAGGGGGAUAGCUCAGGGAAACUUGAGGUAAUACCGCGUAAGACCGGAAGGUGAAAGGGGGCUUGUAAAAGGGCUCUCGCCAUAAGAUGGGCCUAUGUUGGAUUAGCUAGUAGGUGGGGUAAAGGCUCACCUAGGCGACGAUCCAUAGCUGUUCUGAGAGGAAGGACAGCCACACUGGGACUGAGACACGGCCCAGACUCCUACGGGAGGCAGCAGUGGGGAAUAUUGGACAAUGGGGGCAACCCUGAUCCAGCAAUGCCAUGUGUGUGAAGAAGGCCUUCGGGUUGUAAAGCACUUUAGUGGGGGAGGAAGGGUGAUGUGUUAAUACCACAUCACUCAGACAGUACCUCAAGAAUAAGCACCGGCAAACUCUGUGCCAGCAGCCGCGGUAAUACAGAGGGUGCAAGCGUUAAUCGGAAUUAUUGGGCGUAAAGGGCUUGUAGGUGGUUAUUUAAGUUAGAUGUGAAAGCCCUGGGCUCAACCUGGGACGUGCAUUUAAGACUGGAUGACUAGAGUAUGGUAGAGGAGAGGGGAAUUCCUGGUGUAGCAGUGAAAUGCGUAGAGAUCAGGAGGAACAUCAGUGGCGAAGGCGCCUCUCUGGGCUAAUACUGACACUGAGGAGCGAAGGCGUGGGGAUCAAACAGGAUUAGAUACCCUGGUAGUCCACGCGGUAAACGAUGAAUACUAGCCGCUGGGGGGUUGAACCCUUAGUGGCGCAGCUAACGCGAUAAGUAUCC
This 855-nucleotide ribosomal RNA is filed under the name uncultured bacterium. Its description in RNAcentral is "bacterial SSU rRNA". It matches the Rfam family "Bacterial small subunit ribosomal RNA", at positions 26 to 869 of the family's 1533-position model. The record is from RNAcentral.